RNAcentral lists this ribosomal RNA (253 nucleotides) under uncultured bacterium. RNAcentral describes it as "partial 16S ribosomal RNA". It matches the Rfam family "Bacterial small subunit ribosomal RNA", at positions 524 to 776 of the family's 1533-position model. The record is from RNAcentral.
UACAGAGGUGGCAAGCGUUGUUCGGAAUUACUGGGCGUAAAGGGCGCGUAGGCGGCCUUCUAAGUCGGACGUGAGAGCCCCAGGCUUAACCUGGGAACUGCGUCCGAUACUGGGAGGCUUGGAUUCGGGAGAGGGAUGUGGAAUUCCAGGUGUAGCGGUGAAAUGCGUAGAUAUCUGGAGGAACACCGGUGGCGAAGGCGGCAUCCUGGACCGAGAUCGACGCUGAGGCGCGAAAGCUAGGGGAGCAAACGGG